Molecule: long non-coding RNA, 89 nt
Organism: Cyprinus carpio (common carp)
Lineage: Eukaryota; Metazoa; Chordata; Actinopteri; Cypriniformes; Cyprinidae
Exons: 2
Source: RefSeq, a predicted model, not a curated record
GGUCAGCAAUCUGUCGCCAUUCUCACUAAAGCACUGUCAAGGCAAUGCCUUUUCACCAUCUGGAGAAGAAAUUAAAAUGCAAAAACGUC